This 504-nucleotide ribosomal RNA is filed under the name uncultured bacterium. RNAcentral's name for it is "partial 16S ribosomal RNA". It matches the Rfam family "Bacterial small subunit ribosomal RNA", at positions 30 to 523 of the family's 1533-position model. The record is from RNAcentral.
AUUGAACGCUGGCGGCAGGCCUAACACAUGCAAGUCGAACGGUAGCACAGAGAGCUUGCUCUCGGGUGACGAGUGGCGGACGGGUGAGUAACGUCUGGGAAACUGCCCGAUGGAGGGGGAUAACUACUGGAAACGGUAGCUAAUACCGCAUAACGUCGCAAGACCAAAGUGGGGGACCUUCGGGCCUCUCACUAUCGGAUGAACCAAAGUGGGAUUAGCUAGUAGGCGGGGUAACGGCCCACCUAGGCGACGAUCCCUAUCUGGUCUGAGAGGAUGACCAGCCACACUGGAACUGCGACACGCUCCAGACUCCUACGGGAGGCAGCAGUGGGGAAUAUUGCACAAUGGGCGCAAGCCUGAUGCAGCCAUGCCGCGUGUAUGAAGAAGGCCUUCGGGUUGUAAAGUACUUUCAGCGGGGAGGAAGGCGAUGUGGUUAAUAACCGCAUUGAUUGACGUUACCCGCAGAAGAAGCACCGGCUAACUCCGUGCCAGCAGCCGCCGUAA